GCCCUGCUGGGUUCAUCCGGUUACUAAAGUUAUCUAUAACCCAAUAGGUCUCGGGUUCAAUUCCCGCGUAGGUCA
Molecule: transfer RNA, 75 nt
Filed under: Zingiber officinale
Lineage: Eukaryota; Viridiplantae; Streptophyta; Magnoliopsida; Zingiberales; Zingiberaceae
Description: tRNA-Tyr
Source: RNAcentral